Non-coding RNA from Cricetulus griseus (Chinese hamster), 991 nucleotides. The record is from RefSeq and is a predicted model, not a curated record. NCBI's taxonomy places the organism in Eukaryota, Metazoa, Chordata, Mammalia, Rodentia, Cricetidae.
AUCGCCCUCGGACGCCGUGGGGAGGGAGGGGGCGUGGCCUCUGUGGACUAGCAUUGGCGCACAGGCCAUUUAGGAGUCAGAGCCGGCCCCCCGUCUUGUGGCAGCAAAUGACAGCGUGCUGUGUCCAUCUUUGGCUUUUCCGGCUGGUUUGCUGGGGAUUGUGCACAUGCCCCAGCACAUUUAACCCUCCCUCACAGCCUACGGAGGUAGCCAUGCUUCUGCAGACUGUUUAACAAAGGCUGUCAACCAUACUCGCGGACUCAGUACUCAUCUAGCUUUAACGUUGUGGAGUACGGGGCUGAAGAGGCCUCAGAAGAAGGGCAAAGCAUACCAGAUGCGCGUACAUCAUGGCCGGUGGACACUUGGCUCCUCCUAGUCAACGGAUCAAAUAUUCUUCUUUACCAGAAAGUGCCUUCCUCUCCCUUUUCCAGUCAGUUGUGGCUCAUCACUGAUAAACUUGUAGGGCCUCUAUGGCAGUCCUUUUCUGGAGAUGGAUGCCCCAUCCCUGGAGAAUUCAGGAUUCAAUCCCCCUGUUCAUUACAAUCGAAGAGUUUAGCUGUCUUUGCUGCUGUUGGAAGCUGCUGUUCAGAGACAGAUAAUGCCUUUCUCUAACAGGACGUUUGACUGAGUGGAGAGCAAAGAAUAAAGACUUGGCUGAAAUGACUCAAAACAGUUGACCAAGAAGUAAUUAUGUGAUAGGAAACAAGAGGACAUAACUCCAAGACCAUCCCAGCUGAUGAGUAUCCAGGUUGAUGCAAGCUACAGAACAAGGAUCAUAAAAUUCUGCUGUGGGGGCUGGAGAGAUGGCUCAGUGGUUAAGAACACUAGCUGAUCUUCCAGAGGUCCUGAGUUCAAUUCCCAGCAACCACAUAAUGGCUCACAACCAUCUGGAAUGAGAUCUGGUGCCCUGUUCUGACCUGUAGGGGUAUAUGCAGACACAACAUUGUAUACACAAUAAAUAAAUAAAUCUUUUUUUAAAGUCUACUGUGAA